CCUACGGUAGGCAGCAGUGAGGAAUAUUGGUCAAUGGGCGGAAGCCUGAACCAGCCAAGUAGCGUGCGGGAUGAAGGCCCUACGGGUCGUAAACCGCUUUUGCACGGGGAUAACACCCUCCACUUGUGGAGGUCUGCAGGUACCGUGCGAAUAAGGGCCGGCUAAUUCCGUGCCAGCAGCCGCGGUACUACGGAAGGCCCGAGCGUUAUCCGGAUUCAUUGGGCUUAAAGGGAGUGUAGGCGGGCGUUCAAGUCAGCUGUAAAAUCGCGCGGCUCAACCGCGCCCCGCAGUUGAAACUGGACGCCUUGAGUUCACAACAGGCAGGCGGAAUUCGUGGUGUAGCGGUGAAAUGCAGAGAUAUCACGAGGAACCCCGAUUGCGAAGGCAGCCUGCCGGGGUGCGACUGACGCUGAGGCUCGAAGGUGCGGGUAUCAAACAGGAUUAGAUACCCCGGUAGUC
This 459-nucleotide ribosomal RNA is filed under the name uncultured bacterium. RNAcentral's name for it is "partial 16S ribosomal RNA". It matches the Rfam family "Bacterial small subunit ribosomal RNA", at positions 338 to 795 of the family's 1533-position model. The record is from RNAcentral.